This 503-nucleotide ribosomal RNA is filed under the name uncultured bacterium. Its description in RNAcentral is "bacterial SSU rRNA". It matches the Rfam family "Bacterial small subunit ribosomal RNA", at positions 31 to 518 of the family's 1533-position model. The record is from RNAcentral.
GAACGCUGGCGGCGUGCUUAACACAUGCAAGUCGAACGCGAAAGGGACUUCGGUCCUGAGUAAAGUGGCGCACGGGUGAGUAACGCGUGGAUAAUCUGCCCUUAUGAUCGGGAUAACAGUUGGAAACGGCUGCUAAUACCGGAUACGCUCAAAAUGAACUUUUUGAGGAAAGAUGGCCUCUGCUUGCAUGCUAUCACGUAAGGAUGAGUCCGCGUCCCAUUAGCUUGUGGCGGGUAACGGCCCACCAAGGCAACGAUGGGUAGCCGAUUUGAGAGGAUGAUCGGCCACACUGGAACUGAAACACGGUCCAGACUCCUACGGGAGGCAGCAGUGGGGAAUAUUGCGCAAUGGGCGAAAGCCUGACGCAGCGACGCCGCGUGAGGGAUGAAAGGUUUUCGGAUCGUAAACCUCUGUCAGAAGGGAAGAAACUACGUUGUGCUAAUCAGCAGCGUACUGACGGUACCUUCAAAGGAAGCACCGGCUAACUCCGUGCCAGCAGCAGC